GAUGAAGAACGUAGCGAAGUGCGAUACUUGGUGUGAAUUGCAGAAUCCCGUGAACCAUCGAGUCUUUGAACGCAAGUUGCGCCCGAAGCCAUCAGGUUGAGGGCACGUCUGCCUGGGCGUCACAUAUCGUUGCCCAAUGCCUAUUGCAGUGCAAUAGGAAUUUCUAGGGCGAAUGAUGGCUUCCCGUGAGCGUUGUUGCCUCGCGGUUGGUUGAAAAUCGAGUCCUUGGUAGGGUGUGCCAUGGUAGAUGGUGGUCGAGUUAGAACGAUACCGAUCAUGUGCAUGCUCCCCAAAAUAUGGCCUCUAUGACCCACACGCGUCUUUUGACGCUCAUGACGAGACCUCAGGUCAGGCGGGGCUACCCGCUGAAUUUAAGCAUAUCAAUAAGCGGAGGA
RNAcentral lists this unclassified non-coding RNA (395 nucleotides) under soil metagenome. RNAcentral describes it as "partial contains 5.8S ribosomal RNA, internal transcribed spacer 2, and large subunit ribosomal RNA". The stretch from base 1 to 122 matches the Rfam family "5.8S ribosomal RNA", at positions 35 to 154 of the family's 154-position model. The record is from RNAcentral.